GUGAACCUGCGGAAGGAUCAUUAUAGUAAUUGACCCUGAGGUUAGAUGCUGGCCCGCGAGGGCACGUGCGCGCCUCUCUCUCACAUACCCCUUGGUCGGGGAUGCCUUUCCCUCGGGAGGGGCGUUCCCUUCCACCUUAUACCACAUCCUGUCUAACCGCAUGUCUUUGAAGCUCUACGGAGCGAGUAACGUUUUAUACAACUUUCAACAACGGAUCUCUUGGCUUUCGCAUCGAUGAAGGACGCCGCGAAAGCGCGAAACGUAAUGUGAAUUGCAGAAUUCAGUGAAUCAUCGAAUCUUUGAACGCAUCUUGCGCUCCUCGGUAUUCCGAGGAGCAUGCCUGUUUGAGUGUCGUGAAACCACUCAACCCCUCCUUCGAGUGCAUUUGAAGGGGGUGGUUGGAUUUGGACGCUUGCGGCGGUCCUCUUGUCGGGACCCGCCGCUCGUCUUCAACGCAUUAGCUUGGCCCCCUUUCGAGUCGGCGAUAUGGACGGUGUGAUAAUUGACGCCUUGAACGCCGUCUGGCCGAUUUGGAUUUGGGUCUCUCGUCUUCGGACAAUGUCACAUUCAGUCUGACCUCAAAUCAGGUAGGACUACCCGCUGAACUUAAGCAUAUCAAUAAGCCGGAGGAA
RNAcentral lists this ribosomal RNA (632 nucleotides) under Ramaria conjunctipes. RNAcentral describes it as "eukaryotic LSU rRNA". The stretch from base 200 to 354 matches the Rfam family "5.8S ribosomal RNA". Lineage: Eukaryota; Fungi; Basidiomycota; Agaricomycetes; Gomphales; Gomphaceae. The record is from RNAcentral.